This 821-nucleotide long non-coding RNA is filed under the name Medicago truncatula (barrel medic). RNAcentral describes it as "long non-coding RNA (MTRU_LNC005697)". The record is from RNAcentral. Lineage: Eukaryota; Viridiplantae; Streptophyta; Magnoliopsida; Fabales; Fabaceae.
UUUGCUUCUAACUUCUCCAUCACUUUUUGGUACGUCAUGUUUAAAUUUUGCAAUGGAAUACUUGAUCAUUUAUUAUGAUCUUGUUGCUAACUCAAAUGGACAUCUCUUAUAUUGCUAAUUACAGUAAUUUAUAAGCACAUACUUAAUAUUGCUCUCAUGUCAUGAAGAAACAACCCACCAAUAGCGGUUUCCUGAAUGUUCCAUGGUGCAUGCAUUUUUCUUUUGAUUUCAGUUUCAGUGCAAUAAACAACUCUUUAGCGAAUUUAUAUUUAUCCAUUGUUUCUAUUAUAUCCUUCAUUUCUUUCCUAUUAUGUUCUCAACAAAAAUUUGUUCUUCAAUUUUUGCCUUCAUUAUUGUAGGGGAGGCGUGGCCUAGAUAGUGAGAUAGGGAACCAGGGACAUCGGGUCGCAUUCUUUUUCUAGGGUAAUGUGCAACAGGUAAAAUACAAACACCAACUUCGGUGCUUGUAGGUCGGGUUUUUAUGUACGACACACUUCAGAAAGGAUUUGGUGACCGAUGAUUGGAAUUCCUAGAGAAAUGUUGUUUCUUUUGAGCAAUUAAAUGUUGUUGUUGACUUUUGUCAUCCACAAAGAAUGGUUCCUUAAACAGUUAGUGCUCAUAACAGGUUUCUUAAUUAGCUUUUCGCUCACUUUUCUAUCCUUAAUUUUCUUAAGAUGCAUGGGUACGAAAUUGGGGUUUAAAAAAUGUGGCCAUGAAAAGUAUUUCACAUAAACCAUGGAGUGGCCAAAUUGACAAAGGGGUCCUGUCGUCAUUGCCCGUCUAUUCUCAUACUGGAUUUUGCAGCUAUUCAUUAUGGAGAA